This 255-nucleotide ribosomal RNA is filed under the name uncultured bacterium. RNAcentral describes it as "partial 16S ribosomal RNA". It matches the Rfam family "Bacterial small subunit ribosomal RNA", at positions 524 to 776 of the family's 1533-position model. The record is from RNAcentral.
UACGAAGGGGGGCUAGCGUUGCUCGGAUUGACUGGGCGUAAAGGGCGCGUAGGCGGUUUGCACAGUCAGACGUGAAAUUCCUGGGCUUAACCUGGGGGGCUGCGUUUGAUACGUGCAGGCUUGAGUUCGGAAGAGGGUCGUGGAAUUCCCAGUGUAGAGGUGAAAUUCGUAGAUAUUGGGAAGAACACCGGUGGCGAAGGCGGCGACCUGGUCCGAUACUGACGCUGAGGCGCGAAAGCGUGGGGAGCAAACAGG